Molecule: ribosomal RNA, 276 nt
Filed under: uncultured Eubacteriales bacterium
Lineage: Bacteria; Bacillati; Bacillota; Clostridia; Eubacteriales
Description: uncultured Clostridiales bacterium partial 16S ribosomal RNA
Rfam family: Bacterial small subunit ribosomal RNA
Source: RNAcentral
AUUUCUUCGGAAUGAAGUUUUAGUGACUGAGUGGCGGACGGGUGAGUAACGCGUGGGUAACCUGCCUCACACAGGGGGAUAACAGUUGGAAACGACUGCUAAUACCGCAUAAGCCCACGGCUCGGCAUCGAGCAGAGGGAAAAGGAGUGAUCCGCUUUGAGAUGGCCUCGCGUCCGAUUAGCUAGUUGGUGAGGUAAUGGCCUACCAAAGCGACGAUCAGUAGCCGGCCUGAGAGGGUGAACGGCCACAUUGGGACUGAGACACGGCCCAAACUCC